CCUACGGGGGGCAGCAGUGGGGAAUAUUGGACAAUGGGGGGAACCCUGAUCCAGCCAUGCCGCGUGUGUGAAGAAGGCCCUCGGGUUGUAAAGCACUUUCAGUGAGGAAGAACGCCUGGUGGUGAAUACCCAUCAGGAAAGACAUCACUCACAGAAGAAGCACCGGCUAACUCCGUGCCAGCAGCCGCGGUAAUACGGAGGGUGCGAGCGUUAAUCGGAAUUACUGGGCGUAAAGCGCGCGUAGGUGGCUUGAUAAGCCGGUUGUGAAAGCCCCGGGCUCAACCUGGGAACGGCAUCCGGAACUGUCAAGCUAGAGUGCAGGAGAGGAAGGUAGAAUUCCCGGUGUAGCGGUGAAAUGCGUAGAGAUCGGGAGGAAUACCAGUGGCGAAGGCGGCCUUCUGGACUGAAACUGACACUGAGGUGCGAAAGCGUGGGUAGCAAACAGGAUUAGAUACCCUAGUAGUC
This 465-nucleotide ribosomal RNA is filed under the name Vreelandella stevensii. RNAcentral describes it as "partial 16S ribosomal RNA". It matches the Rfam family "Bacterial small subunit ribosomal RNA", at positions 338 to 795 of the family's 1533-position model. The record is from RNAcentral. Lineage: Bacteria; Pseudomonadati; Pseudomonadota; Gammaproteobacteria; Oceanospirillales; Halomonadaceae.